GACGAACGCUGGCGGCGUGCUUAACACAUGCAAGUCGAACGGAAAGGCCCUGCUUUUGUGGGGUGCUCGAGUGGCGAACGGGUGAGUAACACGUGAGUAACCUGCCCUUGACUUUGGGAUAACUUCAGGAAACUGGGGCUAAUACCGGAUAGGAGCUCCUGCUGCAUGGUGGGGGUUGGAAAGUUUCGGCGGUUGGGGAUGGACUCGCGGCUUAUCAGCUUGUUGGUGGGGUAGUGGCUUACCAAGGCUUUGACGGGUAGCCGGCCUGAGAGGGUGACCGGCGACAUUGGGCCUGAGAUACGGCGCAGACUCCUACGGGAGGCAGCAGUGGGGAAUAUGGCACAAUGGGCGGAAGCCUGAGGCAGCAACGCCGCGUGCGGGAUGACGGCCUUCGGGUUGUAAACCGCUUUCGCCUGUGACGAAGCGUGAGUGACGGUAAUGGGUAAAGAAGCACCGGCUAACUACGUG
RNAcentral lists this ribosomal RNA (468 nucleotides) under uncultured bacterium. RNAcentral's name for it is "partial 16S ribosomal RNA". It matches the Rfam family "Bacterial small subunit ribosomal RNA", at positions 28 to 507 of the family's 1533-position model. The record is from RNAcentral.